AGGAAUAUUGGACAAUGGAGGCAACUCUGAUCCAGCCAUGCCGCGUGAAGGAAUAAGGCCCUAUGGGUUGUAAACUUCUUUUAGACGGGACAAAACCCCUUUACGUGUAAAGGGUUGAUGGUACUGUCAGAAUAAGCAUCGGCUAACUUCGUGCCAGCAGCCGCGGUAAUACGAAGGAUGCAAGCGUUAUCCGGAAUUAUUGGGUUUAAAGGGUGCGUAGGCGGACUAAUAAGUCAGUGGUGAAAGCCUGCAGCUUAACUGCAGAAUUGCCAUUGAUACUGUUAGUCUUGAGUACAGUUGAGGUAGGCGGAGUGUGUCAUGUAGCGGUGAAAUGCUUAGAUAUGACACAGAACACCGAUUGCGAAGGCAGCUUGCUAAGCUGUAACUGACGCUGAGGCACGAAAGCGUGGGGAGCAAACA
RNAcentral lists this ribosomal RNA (420 nucleotides) under uncultured bacterium. RNAcentral describes it as "bacterial SSU rRNA". It matches the Rfam family "Bacterial small subunit ribosomal RNA", at positions 357 to 774 of the family's 1533-position model. The record is from RNAcentral.